This 771-nucleotide ribosomal RNA is filed under the name uncultured Neocallimastigales. Its description in RNAcentral is "partial large subunit ribosomal RNA". It matches the Rfam family "Eukaryotic large subunit ribosomal RNA", at positions 26 to 645 of the family's 3401-position model. The record is from RNAcentral. Lineage: Eukaryota; Fungi; Neocallimastigomycota; Neocallimastigomycetes; Neocallimastigales.
CGCAUCUGUGCAUGCAGCAUAUCAAUAAGCGGAGGAAAAGAAACUAACAAGGAUUCCCUCAGUAACGGCGAGUGAAGCGGGAAGAGCUCAAAUUUGAAAUCUUGAAAGGUCACCUUUCACGAAUUGUAGUUUAAAGAAGUGUUUUCUGUUACGAUCGUAAUAUAAGUUCUUUGGAAUAGGACAUCACAGAGGGUGAGAAUCCCGUCUAUGAUUGCGAUUUGUAGCUUUGUGAUACACUUUCAAAGAGUCGGGUUGUUUGGGAAUGCAGCCCAAAACGGGAGGUAAAUUUCUUCUAAGGCUAAAUAUUGGCGAGAGACCGAUAGCGAACAAGUACCGUGAGGGAAAGAUGAAAGGAACUUUGAAAAGAGAGUUAAAUAGUACGUGAAAUUGUCAAAAGGGAAGCGUUUAACACCAGUGUUGUUUUCUGAAAAUCAACCUCUGUUAGCUUUAUGCAUGUUUGUUUAGACCUAAUCAGCUAUCUUGCAUGUUCUAUUGUUUGCAGUGGUGCACUUUUCAGUUUACAGGUCAACAUCAGUUUUUUUUACCGUAAAAAAGUUAAAGAAAGGUAGCUCAUGGCUCCGGUCGUGAGUGUUAUAGUCUUUUUCCUAUGCGGUAGGAGAGACUGAGGUCUGCAGUGUAGGCUAUUUGGCUAGAUACUCAGGUGCUAUGUGAUACCAUUUCAUAAACAACUUGUUGAUUAUGUUUUGUCUAUUGCAUACUCGCUUGUACUAUCAUACCUACGCUUAGGAUGUUGAAGUCAUCGUAUCGCGC